GUAGGUGGCAAGCGUUGUCCGGAAUUAUUGGGCGUAAAGCGCGCGCAGGCGGUUCUUUAAGUCUGAUGUGAAAGCCCACGGCUCAACCGUGGAGGGUCAUUGGGAACUGGAGAACUUGAGUACAGAAGAGGAAAGCGGAAUUCCACGUGUAGCGGUGAAAUGCGUAGAGAUGUGGAGGAACACCAGUGGCGAAGGCGGCUUUCUGGUCUGUAACUGACGCUGAGGCGCGAAAGCGUGGGGAGCAAACAGGAUUAGAUACCCUGGUAGUCCACGCCGUAAACGAUGAGUGCUAAGUGUUAGGGGGUUUCCGCCCCCCUUAGUGCUGCAGCUAACGCAUUAAGCACUCCGCCUGGGAGUACGGCCGCAAGGCUG
This 372-nucleotide ribosomal RNA is filed under the name uncultured organism. RNAcentral's name for it is "partial 16S ribosomal RNA". It matches the Rfam family "Bacterial small subunit ribosomal RNA", at positions 527 to 896 of the family's 1533-position model. The record is from RNAcentral.